RNAcentral lists this long non-coding RNA (278 nucleotides) under Gossypium barbadense (sea-island cotton). Its description in RNAcentral is "long non-coding RNA (GBAR_LNC023205)". The record is from RNAcentral. Lineage: Eukaryota; Viridiplantae; Streptophyta; Magnoliopsida; Malvales; Malvaceae.
UUUUAUAACGCUUAUACUACCACAACUCAAGCUAAUCACACACCUUAUCCAUUUUAUUCAAAAUAUCUCCAUUGUUCUCAGUCCAAAUUCUAUUAAUGAUCUGUCUAGCUUCCUUAUCCUUCGCCCAACACACAUCGUAUUUAAAGAGAAAUCUAGGGUCUUUAAAGUUCUUACAAGGUUUGCUGCCCAUCAUGUCCAUUAAAAUAGCGUCAUGGUCCAAUUUGGAUUGUCUCACCACCUUGGUAACAAGGUACUGUUGGAACGCCAGCACCCCUACG